GAAAUUCCUUGUCGGGUAAGUUCCGACCUGCACGAAUGGCGUAAUGAUGGCCAGGCUGUCUCCACCCGAGACUCAGUGAAAUUGAACUCGCUGUGAAGAUGCAGUGUACCCGCGGCAAGACGGAAAGACCCCGUGAACCUUUACUAUAGCUUGACACUGAACAUUGAGCCUUGAUGUGUAGGAUAGGUGGGAGGCUUUGAAGCGUGGACGCCAGUCUGCGUGGAGCCGACCUUGAAAUACCACCCUUUAAUGUUUGAUGUUCUAACGUGGACCCGUUACCCGGGUUGCGGACAGUGUCUGGUGGGUAGUUUGACUGGGGCGGUCUCCUCCUAAAGAGUAACGGAGGAGCACGAAGGUUGGCUAAUCCUGGUCGGACAUCAGGAGGUUAGUGCAAUGGCAUAAGCCAGCUUGACUGCGAGCGUGACGGCGCGAGCAGGUGCGAAAGCAGGUCAUAGUGAUCCGGUGGUUCUGAAUGGAAGGGCCAUCGCUCAACGGAUAAAAGGUACUCCGGGGAUAACAGGCUGAUACCGCCCAAGAGUUCAUAUCGACGGCGGUGUUUGGCACCUCGAUGUCGGCUCAUCACAUCCUGGGGCUGAAGUAGGUCCCAAGGGUAUGGCUGUUCGCCAUUUAAAGUGGUACGCGAGCUGGGUUUAGAACGUCGUGAGACAGUUCGGUCCCUAUCUGCCGUGGGCGCUGGAGAACUGAGGGGGGCUGCUCCUAGUACGAGAGGACCGGAGUGGACGCAUCACUGGUGUUCGGGUUGUCAUGCCAAUGGCACUGCCCGGUAGCUAAAUGCGGAAGAGAUAAGUGCUGAAAGCAUCUAAGCACGAAACUUGCCCCGA
Molecule: ribosomal RNA, 842 nt
Filed under: Salmonella enterica
Lineage: Bacteria; Pseudomonadati; Pseudomonadota; Gammaproteobacteria; Enterobacterales; Enterobacteriaceae
Also listed under: 1 other name
Description: partial 23S ribosomal RNA
Rfam family: Bacterial large subunit ribosomal RNA
Source: RNAcentral